GUCCCGGUAGCUCAGCUGGAUAGAGCAGCGGACUUCUAAUCCGCAGGUCGCAGGUUCGAAUCCUGCCCGGGAUG
RNAcentral lists this transfer RNA (74 nucleotides) under Phycisphaeraceae bacterium. Its description in RNAcentral is "tRNA-Arg". It matches the Rfam family "tRNA". Rfam says of the family: Transfer RNA (tRNA) molecules are approximately 80 nucleotides in length. Their secondary structure includes four short double-helical elements and three loops (D, anti-codon, and T loops). RNAcentral also lists the same sequence under 2 other names. The record is from RNAcentral. Lineage: Bacteria; Pseudomonadati; Planctomycetota; Phycisphaerae; Phycisphaerales; Phycisphaeraceae.